GUUACAUACACACACAGUGCCUUGCGCUUCUUCAUAGCCAUUCAAGUACAAUACCAUGUAUUUGCAACUCUAGACAAACACUCACAUUGCCAUGCAUUUAUCAUUAUAAGUGAGCAUACACAAACACACAUUUACACAACACCAUAAAUGUACUAUUACGUUACACAUACUCCUACAGCACUAAUACAGACAAACAUUUAUCUAUAGAGCACCAUGC
Non-coding RNA from Pelobates cultripes (western spadefoot toad), 217 nucleotides. NCBI's taxonomy places the organism in Eukaryota, Metazoa, Chordata, Amphibia, Anura, Pelobatidae. The record is from the annotation of a GenBank genome assembly.